AAAGUCCCCUUCGGGGGGCGAGUAGAGUGGCGUCCGGGUGAGUAACACGUAGGUAAUCUACCUUUGGGUGGGGAAUAACGCAGGGAAACUUGCGCUAAUACCGCAUAAUGCAGCGGCACCACAUGGUGACAGUUGUUAAAGCGGGGGAUUUUCGAACCUCGCGCCUGAAGAGGAGCCUGCGGCAGAUUAGCUAGUUGGUAGGGUAACGGCUUACCAAGGCGACGAUCUGUAGCCGGCCUGAGAGGGCGGUCGGCCACACUGACACUGACAUACGGGUCAGACUCCUACGGGAGGCAGCAGUCGGGAAUUUUGGGCAAUGGGCGAAAGCCUGACCCAGCAACGCCGCGUGAAGGAUGAAAUCCUUCGGGAUGUAAACUUCGCAAGAAUGGGAAGAAUUAGUAGGGGUUAAUACCCUCUAUGAUGACGGUACCAUUUGUAAGCUCCGGCUAACUCCGUGCCAGCAGCCGCGGUAAUACGGGGGGAGCAAGCGUUGUUCGGAUUUACUGGGCGUAAAGGGCGCGUAGGCGGUCAGCACAAGUCAGUUGUGGAAUCUCCGGGCUUAACUCGGAAAGGUCAACUGAUACUGUGCGACUAGAGUGCAGAAGGGGCAACUGGAAUUCUCGGUGUAGCGGUGAAAUGCGUAGAUAUCGAGAGGAACACCUGCGGCGAAGGCGGGUUGCUGGGCUGACACUGACGCUGAUGCGCGAAAGCCAGGGGAGCGAACGGGAUUAGAUACCCCGGUAGUCCUGGCCUUAAACGAUGGAUGCUUGGUGUCUGGAGUUUUAUAGUCUCCGGGUGCCGUAGCUAACGCGUUAAGCAUCCCGCCUGGGGAGUACGGUCGCAAGACUG
This 849-nucleotide ribosomal RNA is filed under the name uncultured Bacillota bacterium. Its description in RNAcentral is "bacterial SSU rRNA". It matches the Rfam family "Bacterial small subunit ribosomal RNA", at positions 70 to 896 of the family's 1533-position model. Lineage: Bacteria; Bacillati; Bacillota. The record is from RNAcentral.